This 253-nucleotide ribosomal RNA is filed under the name uncultured bacterium. RNAcentral describes it as "partial 16S ribosomal RNA". It matches the Rfam family "Bacterial small subunit ribosomal RNA", at positions 524 to 776 of the family's 1533-position model. The record is from RNAcentral.
UACGAAGGGGGCUAGCGUUGUUCGGAAUCACUGGGCGUAAAGGGUGCGCAGGCGGGUUCAUAAGUCAGGGGUGAAAUUCCGAGGCUCAACUUCGGAACUGCCUUUGAUACUGUUGAUCUUGAGUUCGGAAGAGGUGAGUGGAACUGCGCGUGUAGAGGUGAAAUUCGUAGAUAUUUGCCAGAACACCGGUGGCGAAGGCGGCUCACUGGUCCGGAACUGACGCUGAGGGACGACAGCGUGGGGAGCAAACAGG